GCAGCCGCCACGGUAAUACAGAGGGUGCGAGCGUUAAUCGGAUUUACUGGGCGUAAAGCGUGCGUAGGCGGCUUUUUAAGUCGGAUGUGAAAUCCCUGAGCUUAACUUAGGAAUUGCAUUCGAUACUGGGAAGCUAGAGUAUGGGAGAGGAUGGUAGAAUUCCAGGUGUAGCGGUGAAAUGCGUAGAGAUCUGGAGGAAUACCGAUGGCGAAGGCAGCCAUCUGGCCUAAUACUGACGCUGAGGUACGAAAGCAUGGGGAGCAAACAGGAUUAGAUACCCCUGUAGUCCCUGUCUCUUAUAC
Molecule: ribosomal RNA, 302 nt
Filed under: uncultured bacterium
Lineage: Bacteria
Description: partial 16S ribosomal RNA
Rfam family: Bacterial small subunit ribosomal RNA
Source: RNAcentral